GACGAACGCUGGCGGCGUGCUUAACACAUGCAAGUCGAACGGAAAGGCCCUGCUUGCCGGGUACUCGAGUGGCGAACGGGUGAGUAACACGUGGGUGAUCUGCCCUGCACUUCGGGAUAAGCCUGGGAAACUGGGUCUAAUACCGGAUAGGAGCCAUUUUUAGUGUGAUGGUUGGAAAGUUUUUUCGGUGUAGGGUGAGCUCGCGGCCUAUCAGCUUGUUGGUGGGGUAAUGGCCUACCAAGGCGGCGACGGGUAGCCGGCCUGAGAGGGUGGACGGCCACAUUGGGACUGAGAUACGGCCCAGACUCCUACGGGAGGCAGCAGGGGGGAAUAUUGCACAAUGGGCGCAAGCCUGAUGCAGCGACGCCGCGUGGGGGAUGACGGCCUUCGGGUUGUAAACUCCUUUCGCUAGGGACGAAGCUUUUUGUGACGGUACCUAGAUAAGAAGCACCGGCUAACUACGUG
Molecule: ribosomal RNA, 465 nt
Filed under: uncultured bacterium
Lineage: Bacteria
Description: partial 16S ribosomal RNA
Rfam family: Bacterial small subunit ribosomal RNA
Source: RNAcentral